RNAcentral lists this ribosomal RNA (820 nucleotides) under uncultured stramenopile. Its description in RNAcentral is "bacterial SSU rRNA". It matches the Rfam family "Eukaryotic small subunit ribosomal RNA", at positions 3 to 845 of the family's 1831-position model. The record is from RNAcentral.
CCUGGUUGAUCCUGCCAGUAGUCAUUCGCUUGUCUCAAAGAUUUACCCAUGCAUGUCUAAGUUUAAAAGCAUUUUUAACUUGAAACUGCGAACGGCUCAUUAAACCAGUUAUCGUCCAUUUGAUAGUCUUUUCUUACAAGGAUACCUGUGGCAAAUCUAGAAAUAAUACUUGCAUCGAAAGGCGACUUUUUGGAAGCCUUGCAUUUGUUUGAUUUAAACCAAUACCUUUCGGGGUUUUUGAGGUGAUUCAGAACAACUUAGCGAAUCGCAGUGCCCUUGUGGCGGCGAUGAAUCAUUCGAGUUUCUGCCCCAUCAGGUUUCAUUCCGAAGGUAUUGUCUUCGGAAGCCAGUCACGGGUGACGGAGAAUCAGGGUUCGAUUCCGGAGAGGGAGCCUUAGAGACGGCUACCACAUCCAAGGAAGGCAGCAGGGGCGUAAAUUACUCAAUACCAAUACGGUGAAGUAGUGACGAGAAAUAUCAUUAAGGAGCCCUUCGGGUUUUUUAAAUGAAAUGAGAGCAAUCUAAAAACCUCAUCGAGGAUCAAUUGGAGGGCAAGUCUGGUGCCAGCAGCCGCGGUAAUUCCAGCUCCAAUAGCGAAUACUAAUUCUGCUGCAGUUAAAAAGCUCGUAGUUGAACCUCUGGUAGGGCGGAUCCGGCCGUUGGGAUGAUUCCCUUUGUUGCUGUGUGUCUUGUCUGGCCAUCUUUCCUUUUUUUCGUAAAAAGGAUCUUUCACUGUAAAAAAAUUAGGGUGUUUCAAGCAAAAGUUAUUUGGAAUAUAUUAGUAUGGGAUGAUAAGAUAAGCUUUAGUUGCUAUUUUGUU